AGCAAAACCUCCCGGAGCCGCGGCGGCGGACCCGGCUGGCUCCCGGCUCCCAGAGCAAGAUGAGAAAAAUGACAAUAAGAAACCCUCCCAAGUUCUUACAGCAAAUGUAUUGUGGAGCCAAAAUGCAUACCCAAGCACUCUCAGACCAGUGCUCACACUCUUCCAGCCCUGCCAUCCUUCUUGCAAAGAGUGCGGCAGGAAAUUUUUUCAAACUGUUUUAUAAACCACACGAUAAAUGUAGCCAACUAAUCCUCGGUGGAUGAAGCAGUGCUCAGUUCAUAUGGGAGAAAUUAGCAAACCAUUUCCCCAAAGGACAAAUUCAAGAAAAGAAAAAAAUAAUAGUGCUAAAGGGCACAUGCUUAUGGAGAUUAAUUCAAAAGAAGUGUCUCUUUGAGACAUCUCUCCGCAUUCCUUCAUUUGUUCCACUCCUCUGGGAUUUGCCCAGCCCCCCAGCUUAACCUUUGCUUCCCUGGCUUACUUAGUAGUCUCAAAAGUUGGAAACAUCAUGAAAAGAAGCACAAGUGUCAGAGGCGCCAGCUGGCAGAGGGGAGUUCCAGUCGCGUUGUGCAUCCCCUUGCGAGCUCUUUAUUUCGGUUGUUCCCUGGCACACACACACGUCAGAAGCUCCGUUGGCUGCCUGCUUCUUGAAGGAUGACAAUUCUGCCAUAAUCCAAAUGUCCAAACGCAAUUACCCAGAUCUGGUCUUCAAGGACUUGGAGCAAACGUCAGUGAGUGGAAAAAAUUAUAAGCCAGUGCUUGGGUCAUAGGUUGUUAAGAAAUAAAGUGACAAGAAUGGAAAAGAACAAUCCUCUUUAUGCUGUGACGUUGGGUCUCCAGUAGGCUAAAGGGCUGAGAAACAAGUCUCCGAUCAUAUUCCUAUUGUGUCAUAACCGUGCUCAGAACAGCUCUGUGGUUCAGUGGGGCUUAGAGAAUAAAGUCAAGGCACGUGACUUGGCAUUUGAGGUGUCCCCUGCUCUGGCUACAGCCUUCUAUGCAGUCUUGCCCCUUGAAGGACAGGCAGGGCCAGCACAACCCUUAUGGCCUGCCACACGACACACUACACACCACAUGCAUUCCAAUUGGUCAGUGUUUAUAUCUUGAUAGGUUCUUCAAUCUUUUUAAUAUCACCCCUUAUACACAUAUGUUUCAUAUUCCAUACUUUAAAAAGUGAAGAGAUCCUAUUCAUUUCUUCCAGAAGACUGUACACUUCUUAAAAUUACCAGUUCUUUCUUAUUCCAUUUUAUAUUUACCACAAUGCCUAGCACUUUCUUGGCUCAUAGUAAGUUCUGCACACAUUUGUGGUAUGAAUAAAAGAAUGAAGCCCGCUGGGAAAA
Long non-coding RNA from Pipistrellus kuhlii (Kuhl's pipistrelle), 1334 nucleotides. RefSeq lists it as uncharacterized. Lineage: Eukaryota; Metazoa; Chordata; Mammalia; Chiroptera; Vespertilionidae. The transcript has 2 exons. The record is from RefSeq and is a predicted model, not a curated record.